ACUCAAAUGAAUUGACGGGGGCCCGCACAAGCGGCGGAGCAUGUUGCUUAAUUCGACGCAACGCGAAGAACCUUACCAAGGUUUGACAUACACCGGAAACACUCAGAGAUGGGUGCCUCCUUUGGAUCGGUGUACAGGUGGUGCAUGGCUGUCGUCAGCUCGUGUCGUGAGAUGUUGGGUUAAGUCCCGCAACGAGCGCAACCCUUGUUCCAUGUUGCCAGCAUGCCCUUCGGGGUGGUGGGGACUCAUGGGAGACUGCCGGGGUCAACUCGGAGGAAGGUGGGGAUGACGUCAAGUCAUCAUGCCCCUUAUGUCUUGGGCUGCAAACAUGCUACAAUGGUCGGUACAGAGGGUUGCGAUGCCGUGAGGUGGAGCGAAUCCCAAAAAGCCGGUCUCAGUUCGGAUUGGGGUCUGCAACUCGACCCCAUGAAGUCGGAGUCGCUAGUAAUCGCAGAUCAGCAACGCUGCGGUGAAUACGUUCCCGGGCCUUGCACACACCGCCCGU
RNAcentral lists this ribosomal RNA (505 nucleotides) under uncultured bacterium. Its description in RNAcentral is "partial 16S ribosomal RNA". It matches the Rfam family "Bacterial small subunit ribosomal RNA", at positions 899 to 1397 of the family's 1533-position model. The record is from RNAcentral.